Molecule: small RNA, 3566 nt
Filed under: Pan troglodytes (chimpanzee)
Lineage: Eukaryota; Metazoa; Chordata; Mammalia; Primates; Hominidae
Description: retained intron
Source: RNAcentral
GGUUUCACCAAGUUGGCCAGGCUGGUCUCAAACUCCUGACCUCGUGAUCCACCCGCCUCGGCCUCCCACAGUGCUGGGAUGACAGGCGUGAGCUACCACACCCGGCUGAUUUAUCCUUUUAUUUGGGCUCCUUUCACUCAGCGUCUUUAAGCUUCAUACGCGAAAGACGCUUCAGAAAUUCCUUUUUCAGGCUGAAUAUCUGCGGCGUGGCUAGGCCACUUUUUGUUUAAUCCUCCCUCCUGGUGGACAGCAGGGCUGUGCUGUUUUGGUUGCUGUAAGUGCGGGUGCACACACCUGCCUGAGGCUCUGCUUUGUUGUGAGCGCGGGUGCACACACCUGCCUGAGGCUCUGUUUUGGCCGUUGUGAGCGUGGGUGCACACACCUGCCUGAGGCUCUGCUUUGUUGUGAGCGUGGGUGCACACACCUGCCUGAGGCUCUGUUUUGGCCGUUGUGAGCGUGGGUGCACACACCUGCCUGAGGCUCUGCUUUGUUGUGAGCGUGGGUGCACACACCUGCCUGAGGCUGUGGCGCGAUCUCGGCUCACUGCAACCUCCACCUCCCGGGUUCAAGCGAUUCUCCUGCCUCAGCCUCCCGAGUAGCUGGGAUUACACCCACCACCACACCUGGCUAUUUUUUUGUAUUUUUAGUAGAGAUGGGGUUUUGCCAUGUUGGCCAGGAUGGUCUGGAACUGACCUCAGGUGAUCCACCCACUGGCCUCCCAAAGUGCUGGGAUUACAGGUGUGAGCCACUGUGCCCGGCCUCUUUUUACUUUGUUAAUGGUGUAUUUUGAUAGAUAACAGAUUGUCAUUUUCAUGAAGCACAGCUGGUCAGUUUAUUGUUGCUCAUGUAUUUGGCCUCAUGUUUGAGUCCCUGUUUUUAAUCAUGAGCUGGACACAGCCCUCUUUAGAGCAACUGUGACCACUUGUGGUGAGAAGUGCAGCCCACACCAUCCACGUGAGGCUCCCACACGCCAUCCACGUGAGGCUCCCACACGCCAUCCACGUGAGGCUCCCACACGCCAUCCACGUGAGGCUCCCAUGCAGACGUUUAGAAGGCGUUUUCACUGCAGCUCAGAAAAUGGCCCCAGGCCCCCAUGGGCACCCCCAUGUCACCAGGGCCUCUGGUUGCUGCAGGUACACAGGGAUAGGCAGCCAGGCCUCGAAGGCGCUGGGCAUGGGUUUGGGUGUCUGCGUUGGGUAGAGACCCGGAGCGCCCUUGCUGGGCGUGCCCUAACAUCCCGGUACCCUGUGCCCCUCUGUGGGCCAGGACGCCUGGUGCUGCCAGCUGGGUGUGAGCCCUGAGGAGCUGAGGGUGGCUGUGACUUGGAGGAUGAGUGGGAGCUGACCAGGAGGGCGUGGAGCCGGGGCGUUUAAUAUCAUCAGGAGCAACACUGGGCUCAGAAGGCAGGCACACUUGCCGUCCCUCCAGAGCCAUGGCUGAUGGCCAGGCCUGGCGGGCUCUCGUGAGGACAGUGCCUGUGGUUGUCAGAUGCUGUCCCUUCGAGCAAGGGAUGAGAGCCAUCCUGAAGACGGGUCAGCUCUGUGGUGACCACCCGUUGGGAGCAGUGACAUUCCGGUGCAUUGCACUGGUGGCUGUGUGGCUGCGUGGUGCGGCCGCCAGGAGCCAUGUGGCGACGACAGCUGUGGGCUGGGCACAGAGCUGUCUCUGCUGGGAGUCAGUCAGUGCUGGGGUGAGGGGAGGCAGAGCUCACAGAGCCCCUCUACAGCUCACCCUGCAGCUCGGCCCCGGGCAGUAAACCCACCAUCCCCUUUUCUGCCGCAGGAGGCCGUGGAGAAGGUGACACAGCACAUCCACGGCCUGUCUGGGAAGAAGGAUGGGCUGGUGCCCAUGUUCAUCAAUACCCACAGCGGCCUCUUCACCCACCUGGGCGUGUUCACGCUGGGCGCCAGGGCCGACAGCUACUAUGAGUACCUGCUGAAGCAGUGGAUCCAGGGCGGGAAGCAGGAGACACAGUGAGGCCCGGCCCGCUGCCCCCAGCUCCCGCGGCUCCCCCGUUCCCGCAGCCCCCCACUCCUGCUGCCCCCAGCUCCCACGGCCCCUGCUCCUGCUGCCCCCCGCCACGCUGUGUGUCAGGAAACCGCAGCCGUGCCAGGCCUGGCCCAGGCAUUUAUGUGGAGGGCGUAUUCAUUCACUUCUCACCGUGGCCUCUGUGGGGGUGAGGGGGGCAUCUUCACUGAGGGCCAUGGGCUGUGCAGGGUGGCACCUUCUGUCCGGCAAGGGCCAGGCCUGCUGUACUUGUGUGGGCCCAGGAUGUGCCUGUCCCUGGUGCCCCACGGGAGCCGAUGCACCGUCCUGGUAGAGUGAGGUGACUGCUGGUGUCCACAGGCUGCUGGAAGACUACGUGGAAGCCAUCGAGGGUGUCAGAACGCACCUGCUGCGGCACUCCGAGCCCAGUAAGCUCACCUUUGUGGGGGAGCUUGCCCACGGCCGCUUCAGUGCCAAGAUGGGACGCUGGCUCUGGGCGUCUACCACGGCCUGCCCGCCAGCCACAUGGAGCUGGCCCAGGAGCUCAUGGAGACUUGUUACCAGAUGAACCGGCAGAUGGAGACGGGGCUGAGUCCCGAGAUCGUGCACUUCAACCUUUACCCCCAGCCGGGCCGUCGGGACGUGGAGGUCAAGCCAGCAGACAGGCACAACCUGCUGCGGCCAGAGACCGUGGAGAGCCUGUUCUACCUGUACCGCGUCACAGGGGACCGCAAGUACCAGGACUGGGGCUGGGAGAUUCUGCAGAGCUUCAACCGAUUCACACGGGUCCCCUCGGGUGGCUAUUCUUCCAUCAACAAUGUCCAGGAUCCUCAGAAGCCCGAGCCCAGGGACAAGAUGGAGAGCUUCUUCCUGGGGGAGACGCUCAAGUAUCUGUUCUUGCUCUUCUCCGAUGACCCAAACCUGCUCAGCCUGGACGCCUACGUGUUCAACACCGAAGCCCACCCUCUGCCUAUCUGGACCCCUGCCUAGGGUGGAUGGCUGCUGGUGUGGGGACUUCGGGUGGGCAGAGGCACCUUGCUGGGUCUGUGGCAUUUUCCAAGGGCCCACGUAGCACCGGCAACCGCCAAGUGGCCCAGGCUCUGAACUGGCUCUGGGCUCCUCCUCGUCUCUGCUUUAAUCAGGACACCGUGAGGACAAGUGAGGCCGUCAGUCUUGGUGUGAUGAGGGGUGGGCUGGGCCGCUGGAGCCUCCGCCUGCUUCCUCCAGAAGACACGAAUCAUGACUCACGAUCGCUGAAGCCUGAGCAGGUCUCUGUGGGCCGACCAGAGGGGGGCUUCGAGGUGGUCCCUGGUACUGGGGUGACCGAGUGGACAGCCCAGGGUGCAGCUCUGCCCAGGCUCCUGAAGCCUCAGAUGUCCCCAAUCCAAGGGUCUGGAGGGGCUGCCGUGACUCCAGAGGCCCGAGGCUCCAGGGCUGGCUCUGGUGUUUACAAGCUGGACUCAGGGAUCCUCCUGGCCGCCCCGCAGGGGGCUUGGAGGGCUGGACGGCAAGUCUGUCUAGCUCACGGGCCCCUCCAGUGGAAUGGGUCUUUUCGGUGGAGAUAAAAGUUGAUUUGCUCU